GUGAGUGCAGGAGCAAGAAAGUCUGUGUGCUCGCGUGUUGCGUGGAUGUGUGGGUCUGGGUGUGAGCCUGGGCCUCCGUGCACGCGUCUGAGGAUGUCUGUGGCAGUUUCACAGGGACCAAGCGUGAUUCUGCACGCGGGGCCAGGAGAGUGGGUGCCUUCAUGAAUGUAUUUCUGAAGGGGUUCACUCACUCAGCAACCGUCAGCCCCUCCCGCCUCUUCCUGAUGCCAGCGUCUCCCCAGUGCCGGGCCAGGUCCCCAAACCGGAGAAGAGUGGGAUUUUAUGUUCUUGGAGCACAGUGAAGAGCUGCCACGGGAGAUGCCUUCCUUUUCCCUUGACCCUUUGGCUAAAUCCUGGUGGUCUUCCUGGAGGAAGCAAGGAAGGAGAGAAGUCCCGCCAGUCUGAGUGGAGAGUCUGGCCUCUCUCCCUGGCCCUGGUGGGUGUGGGGAGCAGGGGCCUUUUAGAGACCUCACAGGCAUGAAGGAUAUACCAUUAAAAGCUUUUGGGGGGCGCCUGGCUGGCUCAGCCUGUAAA
Molecule: long non-coding RNA, 534 nt
Organism: Mustela erminea (ermine)
Lineage: Eukaryota; Metazoa; Chordata; Mammalia; Carnivora; Mustelidae
Exons: 3
Source: RefSeq, a predicted model, not a curated record